GCCGCCCAGGAUGAGUAAUAAUGGAAGCAAUUUGUAACUUUCAGUAACUCUCUAGGCCUGGGUACCGGAGGGAGGGAGGCGGGCAAAGGAGGGGAGAUGGGCACCCCCAGUCUUUCCAUCCUCCUCAUUCGUCUAGGGGCACCCGAAUCCCCUAUUCCUUAUUUCCCGUAUCAAUCAGGCACUGGCAGCGUCCUUUGCUACUCCUGUUGGCCGCCGCGGCUCCAAAGCGAGCUGGGCAGAUGUGCCUGAGACAGGUUUGACCAGGCAACUGAAAAGAUAUCCCUAAGAGAAGACAAAGCAAAGGUAUGAAAGGAACACACGUCCCUGACUGACUAGGAGGAACAGAGCUGCCUGCUGUCUGGAACCGCUUCCUCCCAGACUAAGUGAGAAAUAAACUUCUGUUUUCUAUA
This 410-nucleotide long non-coding RNA is filed under the name Pan troglodytes (chimpanzee). RNAcentral's name for it is "lincRNA". Lineage: Eukaryota; Metazoa; Chordata; Mammalia; Primates; Hominidae. The record is from RNAcentral.